CAAUAGCGUAUAUUAAAGUUGUUGCAGUUAAAAAGCUCGUAGUUGGAUUUGUGGCGUACGGUGUGUUCCGGGCACUUGUUGUCUGAGUAACCUGCUGUUGCCAUCCUUGGGUGGAACCUGUGUGGCAUUAGGUUGUCGUGCAGGGGAUGCCCAUCAUUUACUGUGAAAAAAUUAGAGUGUUCAAAGCAGGCUUAUGCCGUUGAAUAUAUUAGCAUGGAAUAAUGAGAUAGGACUUUUUUGCUAUUUUGUUGGUUUGCGCAAGGAGGUAAUGAUUAAUAGGGACAGUUGGGGAUAUUCGUAUUCCAUUGUCAGAGGUGAAAUUCUUGGAUUUUUGGAAGACGAACUACUGCGAAAGCAUUUACCAAGGAUGUUUUCAUUAA
This 380-nucleotide ribosomal RNA is filed under the name uncultured eukaryote. RNAcentral's name for it is "partial 18S ribosomal RNA". It matches the Rfam family "Eukaryotic small subunit ribosomal RNA", at positions 592 to 976 of the family's 1831-position model. The record is from RNAcentral.